ACAGAUGGGAGCUUGCUCCCUGAUGUUAGCGGCGGACGGGUGAGUAACACGUGGGUAACCUGCCUGUAAGACUGGGAUAACUCCGGGAAACCGGGGCUAAUACCGGAUGGUUGUCUGGACCGCAUGGUUCAGACAUAAAAGGUGGCUUCGGCUACCACUUACAGAUGGACCCGCGGCGCAUUAGCUAGUUGGUGAGGUAACGGCUCACCAAGGCGACGAUGCGUAGCCGACCUGAGAGGGUGAUCGGCCACACUGGGACUGAGACACGGCCCAGACUCCUACGGGAGGCAAGCAGUAGGGAAUCUUCCGCAAUGGACGAAAGUCUGACGGAGCAACGCCGCGUGAGUGAUGAAGGUUUUUCGGAUCGUAAAGCUCUGUUGUUAGGGAAGAACAAGUGCCGUUCAAAUAGGGCGGCACCUUGACGGUACCUAACCAGAAAGCCACGGCUAACUACGUGCCAGCAGCCGCGGUAAUACGUAGGUGGCAAGCGUUGUCCGGAAUUAUUGGGCGUAAAGGGCUCGCAGGCGGUUUCUUAAGUCUGAUGUGAAAGCCCCCGGCUCAACCGGGGAGGGUCAUUGGAAACUGGGGAACUUGAGUGCAGAAGAGGAGAGUGGAAUUCCACGUGUAGCGGUGAAAUGCGUAGAGAUGUGGAGGAACACCAGUGGCGAAGGCGACUCUCUGGUCUGUAACUGACGCUGAGGAGCGAAAGCGUGGGGAGCGAACAGGAU
Molecule: ribosomal RNA, 728 nt
Filed under: Bacillus amyloliquefaciens
Lineage: Bacteria; Bacillati; Bacillota; Bacilli; Caryophanales; Bacillaceae
Description: bacterial SSU rRNA
Rfam family: Bacterial small subunit ribosomal RNA
Source: RNAcentral